CCUACGGGCGGCAGCAGUAGGGAAUCUUUCACAAUGGGCGAAAGCCUGAUGGAGCAACGCCGCGUGCAGGAUGAAGGCCUUCGGGUUGUAAACUGCUUUUAUAAGCGAGAAAUAUGAUGGUACCUUAUGAAUAAGGAACGGCUUACAACGUUCCAGCAGACGCGGUCAUACGUAGGAUACGCGCAUGAUCCGGAGUGACAGUGUGUGAAAAGUUGCGUAGGUGGGAUAAUAAGUAGCUAGUGGAAUCUGGUGGCUCAAACAUUCAAAGUAUUAGCUAAACUGUUAAGCUUGAGACCGUUCGAGGUAAGCGGAAUUUGUGGUGUAGGGGGGAAAUGCGUAGAUAUUAGGAAGAACGCCGAUAGCGAAGGCAGGUUACUGAGACGGUUCUGACACUGAGGCACGAAAGCGUAGGUAGCAAACAGGAUUAGAUACCCCAGUAGUC
This 442-nucleotide ribosomal RNA is filed under the name uncultured bacterium. RNAcentral describes it as "partial 16S ribosomal RNA". It matches the Rfam family "Bacterial small subunit ribosomal RNA", at positions 338 to 795 of the family's 1533-position model. The record is from RNAcentral.